AAAAGAGUCGUACACAAGCAAGCUCUCUAGCAUGUAUUCUUGUAAGGGCACUAACCCCAUUAUGAGGGCCCCACUCUCAUGACCUCUAAACUUCAUUACCUCCCAAAGAUCCCAUCUCUAAAUAGCAUCACAUUGGGGGUCAGGACUUGAAUAUAUAAAGGAGGUGGGGGACACCAUUCAGUCCAUAGAAAAAUGCUUCUUAUCUCUAUCUUUAAUACCUUCACUCUCUAACACAAUUGGAAACCUCCCCAGGGGCUCCAUGAACCGUGGCUGCAGGCUCUCAGGUACUCUAUCCCAGGACCACAAGGAGUUAAUUUGAUAUUUCCACCAAUGGAGGGUAUCAGGCUCUCAUUAAGCCAUUGUAAAAUGGAUGUAAUAAAACAACUGUUUUCUAAGAUUACUGUAACAAUAAAAAUAUUUGUUAAAACUA
This 430-nucleotide long non-coding RNA is filed under the name Homo sapiens (human). RNAcentral's name for it is "novel transcript, antisense to MFSD6". The record is from RNAcentral. Lineage: Eukaryota; Metazoa; Chordata; Mammalia; Primates; Hominidae.